Molecule: unclassified non-coding RNA, 323 nt
Filed under: soil metagenome
Description: partial contains 5.8S ribosomal RNA, internal transcribed spacer 2, and large subunit ribosomal RNA
Rfam family: 5.8S ribosomal RNA (bases 1-120)
Source: RNAcentral
GAUGAAGAACGCAGCGAAAUGCGACAAGUAAUGCGAAUUGCAGAAUUCAGUGAGUCAUCGAAUCUUUGAACGCACAUUGCGCCCUGUGGUAUUCCGCAGGGCAUGCCUGUUCGAGCGUCAUUUCAACCCUCAAGCUCUGCUUGGUGUUGGGCCCUGCCCGCUGCGGCCGGCCCUAAAGACAGUGGCGGUGCCGCCUGGCCCUGAGCGUAGUACAUCUCUCGCUCCAGUGCCCGGUGGUAGCCUGCCAGAACCCCAACUCUCGUGGUUGACCUCGGAUCAGGUAGGGAUACCCGCUGAACUUAAGCAUAUCAAUAAGCGGAGGA